Long non-coding RNA from Talpa occidentalis (Iberian mole), 481 nucleotides. RefSeq lists it as uncharacterized. The transcript is spliced from 3 exons. Lineage: Eukaryota; Metazoa; Chordata; Mammalia; Eulipotyphla; Talpidae. The record is from RefSeq and is a predicted model, not a curated record.
CGUUCGCGUCCGUCGCGGUGAAUGUGGGAGGCGCUCCCCAUGCAACCCCCAAGAAAAAGACAUGAAUUAUCUGUUUUUCACCUCCCCGAAUCUGUUGACCAGAAUGUUUGGAUGAUGUCACAUUGAAUAGGAUGCUUAAACAGCACUAUUUGCAAUCGGUAAAACCUGGAAACAACCCAAAUGCCCGAAAACAGAUGACUGGAUCAAGAAGAUGUGGCACAUAUACACAAUGGAAUAUUAUUCAGCAAUCAAAAAAGAUAAACUCAUACCAUUCACAGCCACAUGGAUGGAGCUAGAAGGAAUUAUGCUCAGUGAAAUAAGCCAGAAGGAAAAAGAAAAAUAUCGGAUGGUUUCACUUAUAACAGGAAUAUAGGGAAACCCAAUAAGACAUCAGUGUAAAAAAAAUAACAGUACAAAACACAACAAAGCAAAAAUGGACAAUUAAAAACCAGAGACAUCCUGCAGGGGAGGAGGCGGGAGA